GUCAGGAUGGGCGAAGCGGUCUAAGGCGCUGCGUUCAGGUCGCAGUCUCCCCUGGAAGCGUGGGUUCAAAUCCCAUUUCUGACA
Molecule: transfer RNA, 84 nt
Filed under: Ameiurus melas (black bullhead)
Lineage: Eukaryota; Metazoa; Chordata; Actinopteri; Siluriformes; Ictaluridae
Rfam family: tRNA
About the family: Transfer RNA (tRNA) molecules are approximately 80 nucleotides in length. Their secondary structure includes four short double-helical elements and three loops (D, anti-codon, and T loops).
Source: Rfam by way of RNAcentral